GGACCUCCAUCUUAUCUGGAUUGAGUCUCAGUUUAUUGGCCCUCAUCCAGCCUAUUAUCUUGGCCAGGCACCGGUUCAGGACAGCCACUGCCUCACCUGGAUUAGAUGUAAAUGAGAGGUAAAGCUUGGUGUAAUCAGCGUACUGAUGAGUCCACAGCCCAAACCUCCUGAUGACCUCUCCCACUGGUUUCAUGUAGGUGUUAAAAAGCAUGGGGGACAAAAUAGAGCCCUGCCAUAGUCCCCCAGCACCACCUACUGGAGUCAGCCAGCCAGGUA
Varanus komodoensis (Komodo dragon) is the source of this 276-nucleotide long non-coding RNA. RefSeq lists it as uncharacterized. The record is from RefSeq and is a predicted model, not a curated record. The transcript is spliced from 3 exons. NCBI's taxonomy places the organism in Eukaryota, Metazoa, Chordata, Lepidosauria, Squamata, Varanidae.